Molecule: ribosomal RNA, 521 nt
Filed under: uncultured bacterium
Lineage: Bacteria
Description: bacterial SSU rRNA
Rfam family: Archaeal small subunit ribosomal RNA
Source: RNAcentral
AACCUCCGCAAUGUGAGAAAUCGCGACGGGGGGAUCCCAAGUGCCAUUCUUAACGGGAUGGCUUUUCAUUAGUGUAAAGAGCUUUUGGAAUAAGGGCUGGGCAAGACCGGUGCCAGCCGCCGCGGUAACACCGGCAGCUCUAGUGGUAGCAGUUUUUAUUGGGCCUAAAGCGUCCGUAGCCGGUUUAAUAAGUCUCUGGUGAAAUCCUGUAGCUUAACUGUGGGAAUUGCUGGAGAUACUAUUAGACUUGAGACCGGGAGAGGUUAGAGGUACUCCCAGGGUAGAGGUGAAAUUCUGUAAUCCUGGGAGGACCGCCUGUUGCGAAGGCGUCUAACUGGAACGGUUCUGACGGUGAGGGACGAAAGUUAGGGGCGCGAACCGGAUUAGAUACCCGGGUAGUCCUAACUGUAAACGAUGCGGACUUGGUGUUGGGGUGGCUUUGAGCUGCUCCAGUGCCGAAGGGAAGCUGUUAAGUCCGCCACCUGGGAAGUACGGUCGCAAGACUGAAACUUAAAGGAAUU